CUCGUAGGCGGCCAACUAAGUCGGAUGUGAAAUCCCCAGGCUCAACUUGGGAACUGCAUCCGAUACUGGAUGGCUUGAAUUCGGGAGAGGGAUGCAGAAUUCCAGGUGUAGCGGUGAAAUGCGUAGAUAUCUGGAGGAAUACCGGUGGCGAAGGCGGCAUCCUGGACCGACAUUGACGCUGAGGAGCGAAAGCUAGGGGAGCAAACG
RNAcentral lists this ribosomal RNA (207 nucleotides) under uncultured bacterium. Its description in RNAcentral is "partial 16S ribosomal RNA". It matches the Rfam family "Bacterial small subunit ribosomal RNA", at positions 568 to 774 of the family's 1533-position model. The record is from RNAcentral.